Molecule: ribosomal RNA, 489 nt
Filed under: uncultured bacterium
Lineage: Bacteria
Description: partial 16S ribosomal RNA
Rfam family: Bacterial small subunit ribosomal RNA
Source: RNAcentral
UUGAACGCUGGCGGCAGGCCUAACACAUGCAGGUCGAACGGUAACAGGAAGCAGCUUGCUGCUUUGCUGACGAGUGGCGGACGGGUGAGUAAUGUCUGGGAAACUGCCUGAUGGAGGGGGAUAACUACUGGAAACGGUAGCUAAUACCGCAUAACGUCGCAAGACCAAAGAGGGGGACCUUAGGGCCUCUUGCCAUCGGAUGUGCCCAGAUGGGAUUAGCUAGUAGGUGGGGUAACGGCUCACCUAGGCGACGAUCCCUAGCUGGUCUGAGAGGAUGACCAGCCACACUGGAACUGAGACACGGUCCAGACUCCUACGGGAGGCAGCAGUGGGGAAUAUUGCACAAUGGGCGCAAGCCUGAUGCAGCCAUGCCGCGUGUAUGAAGAAGGCCUUCGGGUUGUAAAGUACUUUCAGCGGGGAGGAAGGGAGUAAAGUUAAUACCUUUGCUCAUUGACGUUACCCGCAGAAGAAGCACCGGCUAACUCCGUG